RNAcentral lists this ribosomal RNA (471 nucleotides) under uncultured bacterium. Its description in RNAcentral is "bacterial SSU rRNA". It matches the Rfam family "Bacterial small subunit ribosomal RNA", at positions 29 to 477 of the family's 1533-position model. The record is from RNAcentral.
AACGAACGCUGGCGGCGUGGCUAAGGCAUGCAAGUCGAACGAGAAAGCAUCCUUCGGGAUGCCGGUAAAGUGGCGGAAGGGUGAGUAAUGCAUAGACAACCUAUCCUCGAGAGGGGCAUAAUCCCGCGAAAGCGGGGGUAAUACCGCGUACGAUCCUGAUUUUAUCAAGUUGGGAUGAAAGAUGGGGAUCCUUCGGGACCUAUCGCUCGGGGCUGGGUCUAUGUCCUAUCAGCUUGUUGGUGAGGUAACGGCUCACCAAGGCGACGACGGGUACGGGGCCUGAGAGGGUGUUCCCGCACACUGGGACUGAGACACUGCCCAGACUCCUACGGGAGGCUGCAGUCGAGAAUCCUCGACAAUGGGCGCAAGCCUGAUCGGGCGACGCCGCGUGCAGGAUGAAGGCCUUAGGGUUGUAAACUGCUGUCACGGUGUAGGAAGGCCCUCGAGAUAAUAUCAAGGGGGAUGACCCCA